UGCAAGAGAGCACGUGCAAGACAAGACUGGGAGACGCACGCUCUGUUAUUAAGACGUGCUGCCUGCUGUUGUGGUCUGUUGUGCCCACCCCUGGGAAUGCCUGUGGAGUGCCUGAGUGCCCUGUGUGUGUAUGUGGAGGCUGCCCUGUGAUGUACUGUGAACUGAGGACUCAGUAAAGGACAUGAGUAAGUUGGUGUUUCUCUGUCCGGCGGUGCCUGCCACCCACCUGCCAUUGUGUGCCUCAUGCUGAUGUGCUCCUGGGUGCUCCGGACCCUUGACAACGAAGCUGACGCAGCCAGUGAAAGCGGACAACCACAGAGACGUUGGCACCUGACCAGAUAGCCUCGUUGGUCGCCGUCGGUCCAACCUGGCACUCGUACUCGCCUUCAUCUUCAAGAGUAGCGCCGCGGAUCACCAGGUGGUGCUCGCCGAUGGUCUCGUUGCCCACGUACUGAUAGCGAGGAUAGCCAGGCACGGUGCGGUUGAAGCCUGUCCGGGUUGUUGGUCGCAGGUUGACGCCCUUUUGCCGCUAGAGAAAGACGGUUUCAUGUCAAAAUUUACCCAGAUGACGCCACUGUGCAAAUAUUGUAUCGAGAUGAGAACAUCAAAACGUCUUCCAGGGUCACGGAGGGAACAGGUACGGGACCACGGACCAACAACUGCGCGUGGCGCUUUGCAAUACAGGGAAAUGACCUUGGCGGAAAGGAGAUGUAUGGCUGAGCUCUCCCAUACGUUCCACUACGCUGACAGCUGCCACCAUCAAAUGUUGUAGGACCUAAGAGGGUGGCUUAUCAGACAGACUUGGUCGUCUCAGAUCUGUCCCCCACGCCGCGCUGCCCAUCUGUCACCUCUUGAGCACCGCCACACACACCCAGCCGUUCCCGCUCAGGUCAUGAUGGUGGUGGUGCUUGUGUCUGCGUGCCCCCAAGUACGAGAGACCUGGUUGUGCAAUUGCUCCGUGUCACAACAUCACUUCUUCCCUAUCAGUCCAACCACGCUAACCAUUAAUGCAAGAUCGUAUAGGAAGGCCCUCGUCCAUGCGAAGACCCUCGGCUGAAUCGAGGAGGCACGUUGAAACUGCAUUACUUCUUGGCGUGAAAUCAUCUCGUCACUUACCGUCGAGGACGUUUGACUACUGAUCCCGUUUUUGCUGACGAUGGUCUCCUGAUCGUGAAACCUCUACAUUAUCAGCGUCCACCCUCCAUUCAUAGUGUAAGCGUGGCUGGUCUCCAGAUUGUCGUGAAGCCUACACAGUGUUACCAGCGUCGGCCCUCCAUUCCUAGUGUAGGCGUGGCUGGUUCGUUUUCCAAAGAGACAUUGUAAGACUCAUGGAUUAGUAGUGUUGCUGAUUAAUGAGCAGUUGGUUUGGUCUAAGAGUUCGAGAAACUCUCCCUUUAUUUAUUUUUUUUUUUAAUAAAAAAAAAAAAACAUCGAGAGGUCUCAUCUCUUUUCUCGGGAGACUCUUUAAGGUAUAGCACUCGCUUUAUUUAUCUAGGGAGACUCUUCCAGGUAUGCCACUUGCUUUGUUUCUCUCGGGAGACUUUUCAAGGUAUGGCACCUUAAUUUUUCUCGGGAAACUUGGAGGCACCCGCUACAAGUUGGAGGGAAGAGUAGUCGUGAUCUGGCGUAGAUAAACAUUAGAUGUGUAAGAUGUAAUGGUAUUCGUACAUUGCCUUGGUCUAGAAAUAUGGUUGGAUUGUUUACAAGUUCAGUAUGAUUAUAUUUAUUAUGUUCAGGAUCAAUUGAAUGGAUGGAAUCCCUGAAUAUUUUCAAGUAACAUGAAAAAUACAUUAUUAAAUUGUUCGUGUUACGUGUUGAUAGUAUAAAGUAUUUUUCAUGAAUUAUAAUAUUCAUAUUUAGGAAAUGUAAAUUACGAGUCUAGGAGUAAUUUAUUUAUUCAGGAACUUGCGUAACUACUUUCACACUACUAGAGGCUACGGGGGGAGGGGGGUGAGAAAGCACGCUUAAGAAUUUGGUAAGGGUGUAGAUGCACGUCUAUGACGAGAAAACUGCGCCCGUUGUUGAGGCACUGGAUGGGCGCCUGACUAGGAAUCACGUUGAUCCUAUUAACAAUAAUAAUAGGAAUGACGUUGGUUUUAUUAACAAUAAUUGUAGAGAAUCGUGGUAGACAUACUGAUGUGUAUAUAUAUAUAUAACAAUUGUAGACUCGAUGAUGUACAUAGAGAGUUACACGUG
Portunus trituberculatus (swimming crab) is the source of this 2196-nucleotide RNA transcript. RefSeq lists it as uncharacterized. The transcript is spliced from 9 exons. NCBI's taxonomy places the organism in Eukaryota, Metazoa, Arthropoda, Malacostraca, Decapoda, Portunidae. The record is from RefSeq and is a predicted model, not a curated record.